CACAAAGUCAUCAGAAGACUUUCAUAAGAUUUAUGUAGUUUCAUAUUACAAUACCAAAGCAUCAUACAAAAAAAAAAGGGCAAAUUUAUAGCUACAGAAAUUUUCUUUUGACAAACGUCGCAUUGGAUUGUAUCAAUCAACUUUCAGGUGUAUCAAUCAACUUUCAGGUGCUUCUCCAGCUAAAUACUGUUUGUGGACCAUUUUCUUGAAAUCUGCAUGAUUAUUCCAUUAGUUAUGACUAGCAUUGAUUAAACAAUAUUUAAAACUUGCUGUACAAUCUACUAGAGCACUAGAUAUGUUAAAUAAGGAAGCAGAUAAGGUAAUACAGGUUCUAGGAUCCUCCAGAAACAGAGUAAUCGAAAUAGAGAUGAAAUGAAGUAAACAUCGGAGCAACUAAGCGAUAAUAACAACAAAUAGUUGGAAGUUUAGAUAAUUGAAUCAGAAAACAAAUGUGUUGUACAGUGGAAAAAUAUUUCUUAC
Molecule: long non-coding RNA, 480 nt
Filed under: Trifolium pratense (red clover)
Lineage: Eukaryota; Viridiplantae; Streptophyta; Magnoliopsida; Fabales; Fabaceae
Description: long non-coding RNA (TPRA_LNC000302)
Source: RNAcentral